GCUGCAACUCGACUCCAUGAAGCUGGAUUCGCUAGUAAUCGCGCAUCAGCCAUGGCGCGGUGAAUACGUUCCCGGGCCUUGUACACACCGCCCGUCAAGCCAUGGGAGCCGGGGGUGCCUGAAGUACGUGACCGCGAGGAGCGUCCUAGGGCAAAACUGGUGACUGGGGCUAAGUCGUAACAAGGUACC
This 189-nucleotide ribosomal RNA is filed under the name uncultured bacterium. RNAcentral's name for it is "partial 16S ribosomal RNA". It matches the Rfam family "Bacterial small subunit ribosomal RNA", at positions 1304 to 1500 of the family's 1533-position model. The record is from RNAcentral.